Molecule: ribosomal RNA, 523 nt
Filed under: uncultured bacterium
Lineage: Bacteria
Description: bacterial SSU rRNA
Rfam family: Bacterial small subunit ribosomal RNA
Source: RNAcentral
UGGGGAAUAUUGGACAAUGGGCGAAAGCCUGAUCCAGCCAUGCCGCGUGAGUGAUGAAGGCCUUAGGGUUGUAAAGCUCUUUCGUCAGGGACGAUAAUGACGGUACCUGAAGAAGAAGCCCCGGCUAACUUCGUGCCUGCAGCCGCGGUAAUACGAAGGGGGCUAGCGUUGUUCGGAAUCACUGGGCGUAAAGCGCAUGUAGGCGGGUCUCUAAGUCAGGGGUGAAAUGCCAAGGCUCAACCUUGGAACUGCCUUUGAUACUGGAGACCUUGAGUCUGGGAGAGGUGAGUGGAACUGCGAGUGUAGAGGUGAAAUUCGUAGAUAUUCGCAAGAACACCAGUGGCGAAGGCGGCUCACUGGCCCGGUACUGACGCUGAGAUGCGAAAGCGUGGGGAGCAAACAGGAUUAGAUACCCUGGUAGUCCACGCCGUAAACGAUGGAUGCUAGCCGUUAGGCAGCUUGCUGCUUAGUGGCGCAGUUAACGCUUUAAGCAUCCCGCCUGGGGAGUACGGUCGCAAGAUUA